UUUAGGCAAGCUAGUUAAAUAUUGGGCAAACAAGAUAGUAAACAGGAACAAGAUUGGAACUCAUAAUCAAUGAACUAAAACAACAAUGAAACACAUAGAGUUUUAGACUUCGAAAUUAAAUUAGGACAUACCAGUUAAGGAGAGAAAACACAGGGUGUAUAGCAGAUAUUGUGCAAUUGAUAGCCUUGGCUUACAACCGGCUAUAUCAAUGAAGAUUGCAAGUAAUAGAGAAGACCGGAGAGCUUUUAAGUGUAAAAGUGUUUUUGAACUAAUAUUCCUUCCAGAAGUGAGAAUAGAGGAGAGUAUAUAAAAUAGCCAUGGGCCAAACAGAAUAAGGUAAAGAGAUCAAUCAUUCAAUAAUUAAGGGAAGUUAAAGAAUAAAUUAUGCUCGAAAUCAGUAAAGUCUCCCCUAAUUAAGAGUUAAUUACCCAACGGUAAAGGACGGGACAGUAUUUAAGGAAAGAAAAUCAAGCAAUACUUAAGCACAUAAUGGGAAAGUAGGGGUAAAUAAAUAGGGAUUCAAUUAAGGAAACAAUCUUGAGGAAUUAAAUAAGGCAAGAAAAUAAUUAAAAGGUGUAAAAUAGGAAAAUAAUCAAGAAUCGCACAUAGGCAUUAAUAGAGCAAAUCAGUGAAUCAAAACUAAAAAAUAAUACUUAUUUAAAAGAGAAUAAUAUAGGUUUGCAUGAAUAAACAAACAUGACAAGUAUAAACACACAGAAUUAGUCAAGAAUCAAAUCAGAAAUCCUAAUAGAGACAUACUAUGGUAAAAAGCACAAGAUCUCGAAUAAGGAUAAAGGAAAUCAUGAGAAUCAAAACACAAAACAAAAUAUUGUGGCAAGUAACAUGAACAGACUCAAAGCCAAAGCAAAAAUGUCACAAAAUUAGGGUUUUAGUAUAAACUAAUUAGUGUUGAGUCAAGCUCAACAUAAAUCGGUCAAAACUCAUAAGAAUAGGAGAUUAAACAAUCAAAGUCAAAAAAUAUUUUAGAGAAAAGAUUUUCAAGAAACUCUACCUUUAGGAAAUUGGAAAUUUACUUAGAAAACCAAAAGAGUUUCAUAAAAAAUAUGCUAAAUAGGACAGAUUCUUCUUAAAUCCGUACAUAUCUUAUAAGAUCGAAGGACGAAAAUAAGGGUUUUCAUAAUUGACACAAAGAUGAAGACAUAGGGUUAGAAAUCCAUAGAUUUAAGGUGAAAUAAGAAGUUCACUCGAAAUCGAAUAAGAAUGGCCUGAAACAGGCAAAAAAAAAAACCAUAGGCGUAAGAAGACUAGCCUUGGUCCCAGGACCUUAGAGACGGAGAUACCCAGUGUAGGAGAGGCCAUUAGAAGAUCGAGGUGGUGAAGAACCCCCAUGAACGGCGGUAGAUGAGUGAUGGCGGGGCGGGGGGAGAACUAGGGUUAAGGCUAGAGAGAAUCUGAGAGAUGGAGAGGAGAGUGACGAUGGGGAGGAGUGAGAAGUGAUGUGAGUUUGGAG
RNAcentral lists this long non-coding RNA (1471 nucleotides) under Nicotiana benthamiana. RNAcentral describes it as "long non-coding RNA (NBEN_LNC024385)". The record is from RNAcentral. Lineage: Eukaryota; Viridiplantae; Streptophyta; Magnoliopsida; Solanales; Solanaceae.